UACGUAGGUGGCGAGCGUCGUCCGGAUUUACUGGGCGUAAAGGGAGCGUAGGCGGACUUUUAAGUGAGAUGUGAAAUACUCGGGCUCAACUUGAGUGCUGCAUUUCAAACUGGAAGUCUAGAGUGCAGGAGAGGAGAAUGGAAUUCCUAGUGUAGCGGUGAAAUGCGUAGAGGUUAGGAAGAACACCAGUGGCGAAGGCGAUUCUCUGGACUGUAACUGACGCUGAGGCUCGAAAGCGUGGGGAGCAAACAGG
RNAcentral lists this ribosomal RNA (253 nucleotides) under uncultured bacterium. RNAcentral describes it as "partial 16S ribosomal RNA". It matches the Rfam family "Bacterial small subunit ribosomal RNA", at positions 524 to 776 of the family's 1533-position model. The record is from RNAcentral.